UGUUUUAAGCAGGAUGGGAAUUCAGAGUUAUGAUGGGAUUGUUGAGUGAAUCCCUAAGUCCCAGCUCACCAUUUACUCACAAAAGAACUUAACCCCUUUGCCCAUCACCAUUGUCUCCCCUAAUUUUGUCUCUUCUUUUAGGCUAAAAUAUCUAAAGCACAAAGAUGCUAUUCUUGAUUGGUCACUGUUGUGCAUAGAAGGCCUCAUCAGUCAAAAAUCUGAAUAUUGUUGCCUUGUUUUUGCUUUUAUACAUACUUUUGAUCCAAGUGUUUGGAAUUCAAAUCAAACCGUGAACCCAGUUGGC
This 304-nucleotide unclassified non-coding RNA is filed under the name Hevea brasiliensis (rubber tree). Lineage: Eukaryota; Viridiplantae; Streptophyta; Magnoliopsida; Malpighiales; Euphorbiaceae. The record is from RNAcentral.